AGGCAUCGGCGGUGGGGGAAGAGGGCACAGGAACCCCGAACCAGCCCAUGCAGGAGGCCAAGGGCCAAGGGGCGGGGCCAGAAACAUUGCUCAACGAGGCUCCGCAGGACAGAGCGACAAGGACAAGGAAACGCGCAAAGACUGACAUCAAAGGUUCACAUUCCAAACGGACCGAGAAAGGAACAGUGCUGCUGCCGAUGUUGACGGCGGAGUCCAGCUGGAAGCGCUCUAUUCUGGACAGAGCUCACUGGGGGCAGCCGUAACAACACUUAUGUAGCCAGAGGAAAACCCGGACGGGAGAACGGGCGAGAGGUCGUGGCUGGAGGAAGACCUGAGGGCUGUCGUCGGACCUACGGGAAAACGGGAUCCAUGCGGGGCUGUGCCUGCAGCACAUGGAGGGCUAGGGUUCAAAUCAGAGCUGGAGCUGCCAACCUAUACCACAACCACAGCAACUUGGGAUCCGAGCCGCACCUGCGGCCUACACCACGGCUCAUGGCAACGCCAGAUCCUUAACCCACUGGGUGAGGCCUGGGAUCGAACCCGAGUUCUCAUGGACACUAGUCGGGUUUGUUACUCCUGAGCCGUGGCUCCCACAACAAAUCUCUACAAAAGUACUGUCCCCAAAUCUUUCAGCCAUUUCUGAUCAUUGGGAAUCCCCUCCAUUCAGUGUUGUUUCCAGAUCAUCACCGAGCAGCUCAAGGAAGCAGUGACCAGGGGCUGGGCAGGUACUGAGGGGGUCAGGGAGGGGUCUGGGGGGGCAAGCGUAGGCCUCAUUGAAUUUUUCUAUCUUUUAGAAAUGGGUUAUAAAGUCCCAGUCACAACUAAAAAUCUGAUAGGUCUUUUCCCUUUCAGGCAAAAAGGAAGCAGUUAUUCUCCAAUGCCUCUUACCAAGUCACGUGUUUCACGUAACCCUUACCCAUCCCACCCCCAGCCCAUAACUAAUUUGUCUUUUGAGCUUAGCGUCUCCUUCCGAAACGUUUGGCACACUCAGCAUCAAAACUGAAAACCCUCCUUCCGCUCUUCCGUGCUGGUGUUCCUGUGACUACGGGCCACGGCCAACUCUCUUACACCAACAAAUCACGCACCUUCUGUUCCUCUGUGUUACUCCUGUUACUCUGGAUAAACUCUAGUACUGUAUGUCCCCUCAACAGACACGCUGGGGUCUUUACCCCCAGUACCUGUGAAGGUGGCCUCAUUUGGAAACAGGAUCUUCGCAGGUGUAAUCAGGUUAAGACGAGGCUGUUAAGGUGAGUUCUGAGCCAGUAUGAUUGACAUCCUUGUAAGAAGAGGAGAACAGACACAGGCACAUAAAGAGCUCCACGUAAGGACACGGGGAGAGCGAUGCAGCUGCGAGCCAGGGAGGGCUGAGGAUGGCUGGGGCCACCCGAAGCCAGGCGCAGGCGAGGAAGGGCGGCCCCUGAAGUCCCAGCCGAGCAUGGCCCUGCUGCCGUUUUGCUUUCAGACUUGUGGGCUCCGCAACUGUGAGAGAAUAGCUAUCUGUCGUUUUAGGUCACCUAGUCUGUGGUACUUUGUAAUAGUGGCCCGAGGAAACGAACGCACUUUGUGAUAUAAUUCAGGAUGCAGUUCAUUGGGAAAAACGUGCUCGUACUGAAGCUGUGAUAAAGUAUUUACAACAGUCACAGGUCAUGCCGGCCAAACGGCAGACUGCCCCCGACAGCCUGCCUCUGCCGCAUCGCCUCCAGGCUGAAAGGCAACAGAAGCAUCCUUAGCCCACGGCCCCAUCUCACUUCCAAGUCCUGUCCUGUGGGGGCACGGGGGGGAGUGUUGAACACCUCCUCUCUUUACGCCAGUGUAUUUGCUCUUCAUGCUCAGCAUGUGACUCUGAAGCAGCACAAUCUCUCUGGAAAGCAGGGAAAAGCUCAGUGCCUCCCUGCUAGCCACAGCAAGUUAAGGAGCCCUGGCUGGCACUUGCCCUGUCUAGACCUCAGCUUCUUGCCUUGGAACAGAGAAACCAGGACAAGGGGGCCGCCUUGUGCAUCCUGCUCUCAGCGUACCACCUGUCGCUGCCUUGGGUCCUCAUGUUUAUGUAUUUCUUUGAACAUUUCUCUCCAAAGCUGUUAUCUACCUGCAAAGAAAACUUUGUGAAGACACCACAGAGACCCAGCAAUGCCCAGGAGGCCCAAUGCAUGGAACCCUGUCCCCUGGGUUCUUUUCAGAGACAGAAUCCCUUCCUUCCCCCUCUUCAAAGCACAGCAAUACAUCCUUCUUACGUGACUUAAAUGGCGACUGCUGUUUACAACCGUAACUCUGCAUUACAGCUCCUUUGCUCCUUGGAGAAUUUUUUCAUUACUCUCGGUUGCCUUUAACUGACAGGUGACGAAACUCAACUAGCGAUGGAUGUGGGAAGCCCGCCCGAUGGUGGGAGGGGGUGGGAAGAUGCGAGGAGGAAAGGGGGAAAGGCAGGCAGGGAUGCUGGGAGGGAGGAAGGGCGAGGAGGGGGAAGGAGAAAGAAACAAAAGAAGGGAGAAAGGUGAGAAGCCAGAACACCUGCUAGCACAAGUGAAAUGAUAUUGUAAGCACACGCAGGAUGAUAAAGUAACACUGGGAUGGGUUCUGUAAACUACAAAGCACGAUAUAAACAAAGAGCAGUACUGUAUAUUAAAUAUACCAUAUUUAAGGA
Molecule: non-coding RNA, 2641 nt
Organism: Sus scrofa (pig)
Lineage: Eukaryota; Metazoa; Chordata; Mammalia; Artiodactyla; Suidae
Source: RefSeq, a predicted model, not a curated record